UACUACAACGUACCACCCUGAACGUGCCCCAUCUGAUCUGGGAAGCUUAGCAGAGUCAGGACUCGUUUGUACUUGGAUGGGAGCGAGUAAACAUCAGAGGGCUUGUAGAGU
Molecule: ribosomal RNA, 111 nt
Filed under: Microcebus murinus (gray mouse lemur)
Lineage: Eukaryota; Metazoa; Chordata; Mammalia; Primates; Cheirogaleidae
Source: RNAcentral